GAGCUAAAGAUCAAGAUGAGGACCAAGAUGAGGAUCAAGACCAUAACACUGAAGAUGGCAGCGAGCAGUGCAGAGACCUCGCUGGAGAAAAAUGAAUUUACUCCUAAUAUCAGCAGCACCAUGCCUCCGAGACCAGAGGUGACGUACAACUGGAUCAAUAUAACUUCAGAGUUCUUCCACGCUACUAAAGACCUGCAGCUGGGAGAACUUCUGCAUGAUGACAUCUUUGGGUUGUUUGAGGCCAUGUCUGCCAUAGAGAUGAUGGACCCCAAGAUGGAUGCUGGCAUGAUGUGCAACAGAGGGAAGAAGGUUCUCAAUUUUGAUCAGGCUGUGAAGGCUGGUGCUCUGAAGCUCAACAACCUUACCAUGGAGGAACUUGUUGGGAUCAUGGACUCAAUGCUGGCCUGCCUUGUCACCUGGCUGGAAGGACACUCAGCAGCCCAGACCAUCCUUACCUGCCUCUACCUGCACAAGCCUCUUAGCAUUGAGGACAGAGCACUGAGAGCAUUCUCCAUACAGACUCUGAAGCUCAUUGCCAUAAUUAACAAUGUUGUUCAUAGUGCUGGUGUGUUUGAAGAGGAGGACUUCCAGCCAGCCUUAUAUGGAUAUGGGGUGUGCUCCGAGGUGUCUGAGGUGCGGGCAGGAGGCAUGAUGAGGGAGGUGGAAGAGGAGCUACAGAGGGCAGUCAAGGCCACAAGGAACAGACAAGGAGAGCCAUGGGAUCCCAAGAUGCAGAAACAGCACGAAGAUGCAGUGGCACUCUUCUCAAGAAUACGCUUCAUGCGGCUGUUCUAUGCUGCACUGGCUGCCAUAAUGAGAAGAGAGCCUGUGUCCAUCCCUGAGGCAGAGAGGUGCUUGGCGUCGUGCAAUGAGCUGGUUUGUAUAAUGCAGAACACCAUUGGUCGAGGGCUGAAACCCAAGCAAGCCAAAGACGAAGAAGGCAAUAAAGUGGACUACCCAGUAAUCAUGGGGUUUGAGCCUCUCGUCAACCAGCGCCUCCUGCCGCCCACCUUCCCCCGCUACACUCGGCUGAGGACACGCAAGGAGGCCAUGAACUACCUGGAGGAAAUGGUGGCCCGCCUGCGUCACAUCACCAAGAUCACCCACUGCACUAGCUUCCACUCAGCUCUGGAAUUUAUUGAGAAUUUUUCUGAGACUCGACCUUGUGUGUUGUCUCGGUCCCUGGCACAAGUCCUGUACCUGGGUGGGGAGAAGCUGUGGGGUGGCCAGGCAAUGGCAGAGGCCCUUAGAGAGGCUGCCAGAGGAUUUAUAUGUCCCCCUGCUCUCCUGCCUAAAGCACCAGUAAUGAACAAUACUCAGGCCAGAGACUAUGUUGACUCGUUCUUCAACCGAUGUGUGCGUCCCUUUGAGCAGCUGGUCCAGACGUGUGGCCACAACCGGGCACGUCAGAGGGAUAAAGUGGCCCAUCUCUUAGAAGAGUUUGCAAUGCUGCAGGAUGAAGCUGAUAAAGUGGAUGCAUACCUACAUAAUGUCUUGUUGAAGAGUGACCAGCCAAGGCCUCAUUUAGCCUACCUGGGCACCUGGGUCUUGUAUCACACACUAAGGCUGAUGAUCAAGUACCUGCUGACAGGAUUCACCUUGGAGCUUUAUGCUGUACAUGAGUAUCACUAUGUCUACUGGUAUCUCUAUGAGUUUGUGUACGUAUGGCUGGUGAGUGCAUUGUCCAGAGCGGAUGCAAUGCUGCUGGAACAGGACGGCUACGACACAAACAGAGGGGGAAAGAGUGGACGUUCAUCGAAAAACAAAAAUAGAAACAGAAAAAAGCAUCGACCAUAUGGAAAGGAAAUCACGUACAACCAGGCUCUCCAGCAUCUGUGUGGAGGAUAUUAUAAGGCAAUGUUGGGUUUGAGAGAGGCAGGGAAAGUCAAGUUACCACUUCAGGAGUUUGACAGUGAGCAGGUCCGUUACGAGCACCGGUUCCUGCCGUUCAGCGUGGUGAUGACUCCGCCACCAGUGCACUAUGACCAGUUCCUCUCCAUGACCGACCUCUCAAACUUCUCGCAGCCAGUGUCACCAGCCACACUCUUCCAUGACGCAAGGAAUCACUUCUUCAAGGCACGUUCUCUUCUUGAAACUAUACAUGCCCCAAGUACUGAGGUUCAGCAGCUGCUGAAAGUUGUGAAGACGAACUUUGUUGUCAUGAAACUCCUUGAAGGCGGCCACAAGGCUGACGACCCCACUCGCCCUCAGUUUGACUUCACCACUCACCCGUGCUUUCCCAUCAUCAAGAUUUAGCAGAAAGUUGUUAGGAAGCGAGUUCCGAAGGAGCUCCUUCCUAUCAAUGAGACAGAAGAAGUCUGAGAACAACAGUACCUCAGAUAUUUGGAAGAAUUAAGGAAACUGACUAAAGACUAAGAAGAAAUAUUCACAUCAUGAAAGACAUAACUUAACCUACCAUAUCUAACUACAUACGAAAGUGGUAUGAGACUGCUCUGUGGAAGUAGAAUGCCACACUGUAUAGUCAGAGCUAAGAACACAUGCCUGAGGGGACCAACAGCUGUACAAGGGCAAUGAAAACCCUUCACACUACAGCACUACAGCAGGUAAAGCUCAGACAUCUAGUUGCAUCCCAAACUCAUUUGUCCUUAGCUUUAAUAAUGGGACUUAAAGCUUUGAUCUGUCAGGACAUGGGCAGCCAGUCAGCCAAGAUCAUUGAGUUGCUGUUGCUGGAGAAUAUGCUAACAUGCUGUACCUAUCUUGAGCCAAGACAAGCAGCAGUGAAAAAGCAUGAAUUGUGGCCAGUUAUUUGUGCACAUCUGCAGUAGAGGAACACCUGUAAUCAAGUGAAAUGUGCUCUCUCAUGCCCAGUGUAAUAUGCACCUUGUAUGUGUAAUUUAAUAUAUACAGUAGUAUUUGUAUAAAAUGUGUGAUUGGAGAAUACUAUACUCUCUGCAGGAUAAAAUGUAUGUUCUCACUGAAAAAUCUUUGUUGUUUACAUUGAAGGGAAAUAUCAACUCAGCGGCAAGAGAGAAUUGAUCAUUUGAAGUCAGUACUGGCAGUUCAGUAAUGGAUAUCAAAACCAGUCAUCUGAAACAAAGCUGCUGACUUCUUCAGUGUAUGGUGUUGACUAUUUAUUCAUGGAAAUAUCUAGUACUUAUAAGUUAUUGUGCUUAUUUAUUUAUUUUUCCACUGAUAUUCAGCUGUGAUAUAAUCCAUCACACCAUACAUUGUUUUUAAUAGUAAAGUAAAUAUUUCCCAACACAUUAAGUUGUAUUCCAUGUUUUAAUUACUUCACUUUCUAAAAGCAUUUGAACUUAAGGGUAAUAUAUCUAUUUUACUGUAACAUAUGUUUUUGACUUCAUUGAUCAUGUAAUACACUGUCUUGACAUUAUAUCAAUGGUUACUGCCUACUAAUUUUGUUUCUUAAUAUCAGUCAGUUCCAAGAAGAGCUCAUACAGCAUCAAAACACAGGACUUAUCUGUGCUUACCAUUGAUGAAGAUACCUGAUCUCUGAUGUGUAACUGUAUCCUUCUGCAUAAUGCAAUGUUAGAUUUGAGAUAUAAGGUGGCAAUAUCAGUGUUCCUUCAUCAGUUAUCAGGAUGAAAGUAUUCCCAGAGAAGCUGCUUUCGGCACCAGAAUGUGUGAGGAAAGAGGGAAUCCUUCAGUCACCACAUAUUUCUUACAAAGCCUAAGGUGUGCAGUGUUUGUGUAGGCAUUUGUGUUGGACUAUUAGAAUGUUGGAAUCUCAUAUCAAGACCAUGUAUUGCAGCUGCAGUAGAAAAGGUGACAGUGAUGGUGAACAUUUAGAGGAAUUCUGCAUGAAGUGACAGGCAAGAAGUCUUGUACAGUAAAACCACCAUAAAUUGGCAUGAUAUUGGCUUGGCCUCCAUCAUUUUAUAGAAAUUCUUACUCAUGAAAAGUGCCUCUACAAGCCUUUGGAAACCCCUCCGACAGGUAAGGACCUUUUUAUUUAUAUUUCUUUGUCUUCAGAUUCAUCCCUUUUUUCCUUCUCGAAUUUUAUGCUCCACCUUGCUCUUAAGACUUGGCACUGAGAAGGGCUGCUGGCUCUGGUGUUGGUUUUGGUUGAAGGUUGGGAGGUCCAGUCUUUGCAAGGACAUUCAUCUCUUGUGGUCUUAUUUAUGGUUCCUCUUUGUGGUCUGAUAUGCUGUCCUAUUUCUCUCAAAUAUCACCUAAUUUUCCUUAUAUUUCUUCUUUUGGUGCUACUUAUGUCAAAAAGAUUACCAAUAAUGUGAUCUUCAUUUUCAACAUACAGUCUUUAAAUGUUUUUAAUUCCGAUUUAUAAAUGUCAUGGAGGUUUUAGUGCAUUUAGUAUCGUUGUGUAGAAAGCUUUUCUUCCAUAUAUUACAUAAUACAGAGAACAAUAUGCAACCUGAUCUUUCAUCAUGUAGUUCAUCGUUCAGUCAUACUUGAAGUGUGCAUCACAUACGAGGUUGUGUUAAGUUGUGUUGGGUCAGAUAGUAAUGCCUUUCCACUUUGUGUUUGUCCCAUCUAGCUUCAAUCGUGUGUCAAUUCAUAGAAAAUGUUGCCCAUACAGAUAUACUAAGCAUGUCACUAAAGAACUGAAUAACUUUGAAAUUAAGCUGAUGUACUAGAGAACUUAAGAAAGUAAGGAGAGUUGAAAAGGCCAAAUUACAGACAGCACCUCCUCAGGCUGAGCUUUGAUGUCACGUAUAGAACUAAAUGAAGAGUGACACUUCUAUUUUCAACAAUUAUGUGACUAAGAAUUCACUCGGCAUUGUAAAGGAAAUUAAACCACUUUAACAUUCCCUUAUGUAGAAAGUGCUGUAUGCUAGAUAUACAAUAUCCUCAACUGCUUAGUGUAUUAUAGACAACAAUUUUCAGUAUGUCUUGCUUGCUUAAUUGUUGAAAUGCUGAGAGGCAGGAGAGUAUUGGAAGAAGCACAGUGAGGUGGAUGGAUGUGCAAUGCUGCUGUUGGAGUUAGCAAGGGAGGGAAUCAAGAAGUAGACUGUAAAUUUAGAGCCUUAUCAAAAUAAUAAUCGAAAUAGCAAUGGUGACAAGUUGAAAAUUAUAGUGAUUUUGUCCUUGUCUGGUGGUGAUUGAACUCCAUGUCACCUGUUUGCAUUCACUUUCAUUGCUUGUCACCAGAUGGCAGAGUGUAUGUUCGGAAAAACAAUGAACAUGAGUGAAAAGAGAUCAUGUAAGCAACUGUAUUUCCUUGCUCUGUUCUAGAAUGAAAGUAAUUGUUGAUAUUAUUUUUGCUGUUAUUAUUAUUAUUAUUAUUAUUGUUGUUGUUGCUAUUAUUAUUAUUAUUAUUAUUAUUAUUAUUAUUAUUAUUAUUAUUAUUAUUAUUAUUAUUAUUAUUAUUAUUAUUAUUGUUGUUGUUGUUCUUGUUAUUAUUGCUAAUGUAAAUUUAGUUUUUAUUAUUUUGUAGAACACAUUUUGUAUUUGAAAACAAGGACAGACUUGAGCCAUUAUUUACAAAGCAAUGGCAUUUGUCUUUCAUAUUUUCUUUCAAACACUAAAACACAGUACUUUUCUGCUACCUUCUGUAUUAUUUUUUUUAUCAUGAAUAUAGCACUACAUAUGAAUACAAAAUUAAGUUGAUUUAAGGCUCAAAGUAAACGUCCUUUCGUUGAAUAUAAAACAGGAAAAAAUCUACCGAAUGAAGAGACCACAGUUGAGUGUAGUGAAAGUAUAGAGACGUAUUUAUUCAUCACCACAAAGGAAGAGGAGAAAGAAACGAAGGUGAAGUUCCUCUGCAGCAUUUCACUCUGCUAAUGGGUAUAACGAGAUCCUUCAGUGCCAUAAGUAUCAUUGCGUCCGUUCACAACUAGCAUAAGUGGGUUGUUGCCAGCCUGCACACAGAAUGUCAUCCAGUCCCCCAGGAGCUGGAACAGGUGUUAUCUAUUGCCUGAGGUUGCCUGGUACAAAUACACUAAAAUUUUGUAAUGACGUAGGAAGCAGACUGUUCGUACUAGUGUUUUGUAACAUGAUGCUUUACUGCUGUUGUAUAAAGUAACUAACCUGUGUAUGUAUGUAGUUUUAGUUUGCAAAUUUUAUGAAUUGUAUCUUAGGCUGAUAAAAAUACUAGAGGAUUCUGUCUAAUAGUAAAGUGUAGCUGCUGACUGACUGCACACCAAAGUAUAAGAGUAAAAAUGAUGAAUAGGGAAGCAUGAGAUGAAGGAAUGGUCACUACAUAUCACUCAAUGAAUAACAGUGCAUUUAGACAAUUGAAAUGAGAGAUGUGUGUACGUUGUGGAGGACUUCAAACAGCAACAGAUCCUUUGAUUCUCACUAGGCCAUUUGAUUACCUGGUGUGUGUGUUUGCUCUACUGUAAGCCAUUCACGUAUGUUUCAGGGGAAGGCCAGUUCUUUAUAUCCAAAAACUCACUCUUAGGUUGUAUAAAGGAAACAUUCAUUGAUAUAUAUGCAGUCAUUGGCAACAAAUUGUACCCACUAAAGGAAAGAUUUAUUUGCUGUAAACAGUAGUGGUAUGAAAGGUGAAGGCAUACUAUUUUGAUUUUCUCCUUUUAUAAUGGUGAAGAGUUCAUUAAAUGUGAGGCUUGCUGGAAAUGCCUUCAGUGUUUGUUACAGUCAUUAUUUACUUUAUCAAGAGCUUACUGUAUUUUUAAACACUGAACAUGGAGGUUUUUGAACAGUUAAAAAAUCUUCCUCUUUCUUCUGUAUGUGUAAUGAUAAAAAAGCAGAAGUGGCACUUUUUAUUCCUAUCUUUAGUGUGUGGUUAUUUUCUCAAUUUUCCCCGAAAUACUAUCUUACAUAUGCUAGAAAAAAGCAAUUUUGUAAAGAAUGAGAAGGAAGAAUAGUGAUAGAAAAAAUUGCAGCUUUGUUUUAUGCAGCAUUGUGGUGUUUAUUGUACAGGAAAGACAUGACAAAGAUAAGAGUUCAUUAUUUAUAAUUAUAUAGUGGUUUAAGCUUCUUUAAGUUAUUCAGUAAUUUUUAAUCAGUAUUAUUUUGCUUAUCAGCUCUUGAUAUUGUGAUACUGAAAGAUAGAUGAAGCUGUACUGACCUCUGGCAUGCUUAGUGAACAGCCACAAUGCUUUAUCUAUUACUUCUAACAUUGUAAUAUCCUUUCUUGUUCAAACCUAACCUCAUAUGAACAUCACUAUAUCAGCCUUAGAGCCAUAUAGUCAGUUUCUUGGCUCAGUGCCUGAAACCUACUCUAACAAAUUCAGUCUGCCUCCAGAUCAGUCAUGCUAUUAUGUCAGCAUGCUGUGGAAGAUGAGAGUAAGAACUGGAGUAGUGUUAUUUACUAGAUAUUCCCUUUGUAAGAUUUUCAUGGUAUCACUAUCAAAUCAAAAGGUUAGUGACAGUGAGCAUGAACAAGAAGUAGAGCAUCUCAUGUGUUCUGUCUUGCCAUAUGUGUUCUAAUUUCUGACUCACUCCAAGAGAGAGAGCAUUACUGUAAUAACAUUAAGUGGACUUCAUUAGUACUUGAUUUCUCUGUCUAGUUUAUGCAGGGCUACUAUUGAUUUUCCGGCAGUCACCAAUUGAGCAUUAGAACUGCUAUGGACUGACUUAUGUACUUACAAGGCUGGUGGGGACAGGUAGCUCUGUGUUAAUGCUUGCCUAAUGGCCUAACGGUUUUUUAUUUGAUUGUCUCAGUGCAGUUUCUCAUUGGGAAAGAUUGUGCCCUCUUGUAACCCUUGUUGGCACUGUUCAAUCUCAUUCUUACAGUGCUCUAACUCAAUUUGACCCCAGAAUGUAGUACAUGGGAGGUUUUAAAAACCUUUCUAUGCUCUCUCAUGUGUAUACUCAAGAUCUGAACUGCUGCUAUGGCUCUUAUGGUAUUGCUAAUGUACUGCUUGCUGUAAAAUCUGUGAAUGUACUAGAUCUGUACUGUGUUUUGUGUUUCUCAUCUUGUACCUGUUAUCACUAAUCUUGGUAGUCUCAAAGGAAGAUGCUAUUGUCUGUCAUCUUCCAUGGAUUUUAGUUGGAUGUUGAUUUGAGUAAGAAAAAGCCACAUAGUGAGCUUAGAAGAAUGUAAAAGCACUGUCAUGUAGGUGAGAAAAUAUGGAAAGACAAUGUGAUACUUCUUGUCACACUGAUGCUGCCACUAACACAACAUUGACUCUGCCAUGACACCCCAUGACGACACACUAUGAAUGUCUGUAAACAGUGUCACAUUUUUCACUGAACUUCCUUCAUUUCACCUUCGAUUUGCUGAUUGACCUGUGUUCUCAUCAUUUCUACACCCAUGCUUUACCACACACCAGCAGGCCUCUCCAGGUGGAUGCAGCUUGUGGUGGAGCAACAGUUCAUUGCUUUUCCCAGUAAUUUGAUGAUCUUCCUCUGAGAAUAUGAGGUGUAUGCAAAGAUCAUUUCACUUCUUAUAAUUAGAUAUGAGACUUGUUUGAAUUUUAAUUGUAUCCAAUGUGUGCUGUAUCAGAAUUUAUCAUAUUGAGGAUUUUCUUUAUUUCUGCUGCACCCUUUCCCGUCCUACACCACUAGCUCAUCUGUUUAUUUCCUGUAGACACAUCUUUUCUCUUACCACGGUGCUCUACAUGUAAAUAUGUAUGCCAUGUAUGUACUGCAUAAUUGUACUGAAAUGUGUGUGAUAGUAUUUCUGUGCAUGUAAUGAAUAUCUGUUUCCAGAGUGUGCAGUUCAGAAGAUGGAUGAAUGUUGUACAUACUAACCAUCUGUGAUGCAGCAGACUUACUGACUUUGUACUGAAUGAAGGUUGAAAGGUCCCCAAAAUGAUCUUUGAAACCUGAUGAUCAUUUGGUCCCAAUGUCUAAGGCACUGUACUUCCAUGUCAGGGGUUCAAUCCUGUCCAGGGCGCCUCUCAUGGCUAAGGAUAUAACUCCCGCCUUCAGAUCAAUUUCUUGGUGUUUCUGUGACGCUCCAAAAGGGGUAGUGACAUUGAUGCUGUUCCAAAGAGUGCCGGAAAAUUGAUGGUUAGCUGGUAUAAGUUAUUGAGUUUCCAAGGAAGCCUAAAGUAGCCUAAGUUGUCACUGGCUGAGUAACAUGCUACACUCACUUCAGCAUGUUAAGCACUUUCCUUCACUGUCUUGCUCUGUGAUCUGCCCAGAAUGCACCGGUGGUCAGGUUGUACAAGGAGACUGUCAUCAGAUCAGAGGAUGUAUACUGAGGGAAGCCACUGAAUGCUGGAAGUGAGUACAGCAGGUAACUUGAGUUGUGAUAAUGACUGCAUUGCUUAUAACUUCUGUCUGUUACCUGAAACCAAAGCAUAAUUAUAGCUCGUAUGAAUAUAAGGAUGUUGUACAUUGCUUUGUCAGGGAUGUACAUAUGAUAUUUAUGAAUUUAACUCAUACUGCAAAAUGUUAAUGUAACCCAGAAACAAGUGCUCUUGAUAUUUAAGUGUAAAUCCAAAUAGAUGUGAUAUAGAUAUAA
RNAcentral lists this unclassified non-coding RNA (9316 nucleotides) under Portunus trituberculatus (swimming crab). RNAcentral's name for it is "n-alpha-acetyltransferase 35, NatC auxiliary subunit- like, transcript variant X3". The record is from RNAcentral. Lineage: Eukaryota; Metazoa; Arthropoda; Malacostraca; Decapoda; Portunidae.